RNAcentral lists this ribosomal RNA (253 nucleotides) under uncultured bacterium. Its description in RNAcentral is "partial 16S ribosomal RNA". It matches the Rfam family "Bacterial small subunit ribosomal RNA", at positions 524 to 776 of the family's 1533-position model. The record is from RNAcentral.
UACAGAGGAUGCAAGCGUUAUCCGGAAUGAUUGGGCGUAAAGAGCGUGUAGGCGGCCAGGUAGGUCUGCUGUGAAAACUCGAGGCUCAACCUCGAGACGUCGGCGGAAACCAUCUGGCUAGAGUCCGGAAGAGGAGAGUGGAAUUCCUGGUGUAGCGGUGAAAUGCGCAGAUAUCAGGAGGAACACCGAUAGCGAAGGCGGCUUUCUGGCCUGUUCUUGACGCUGAGGCGCGAAAGCUAGGGGAGCGAACGGG